CCGAGGCUGACUGCGUGCACUGUGACACCUGAGGCUGACUGCGUGCACUGUGACACCGAGGCUGACUGCGUGCACUGUGACACCGAGGCUGACUGCGUGCACUGUGACUCCCAGGUGUCCUUCCCUCUACUUGCCCUUGGGUUUGUCUGAUGACGGCACCAGCAGACAAUAAGUGGCUGAUCCGGGGUCAGAUGUGCAUUGAAGUCGUCAGCGUGUGGUACUGACGGAAGCUGUGGGUGUGACUGAGGCCUCUCAGGAGGGACUGGGCAGUGAGGGGACAAUAGGCACUGAACACUGGGGAGAGCAGUGUGGCUCCUCCCAGAUCGUCCCCAGGCCUGAGGCUGCAGGGCCUCCAGGCAUGUGACCCGUGCAGGCUCUGCCCAGAGAUGUGACAUGCUCAUACCCAUGCAGGGCACAGCGGCUCCUGGAGUUGAAGGCGCUGUGGACACCUGAGUGAGACCGGUUAGAAAUGCCUGCCCUGCCUGGAUCAUGCCACCACAUCAAGUGUGACCCUGAACCUGAUCAUCUCCGUUCUCCCUGGGGUGUUGUCCCCUGGGUCCUUGUCACCAGCAGCAUCAGCCUUGCCGGGGCUCAUUGGAAUACAGAACCUCAGGCUGGCCCCUGGACCUACUGGAUCAGAACCUGCAUUCUGAAAAGGUCCUGGUGAGUCACAGGCAGAGGAAAGCCUCAGGAGCACUCCCUGCGUGCAUCACAGAAGCCCCGCUCACCCUGAGGCCUCGGUGUGGGCUGUGGUGCCCACAGCUCCAGCUCUCUAGGAACCAAUUAGAACUCCUGGUCAAAGAUGUGGAAGGAACGGACUCUUCCUCCAGAAUCCCCGUGAGAGAGACAAGGAAUGGGCAUUAAACCAAGCUAAGGGGAGGGGGCCGUAACGAGGCUCUGGGAGCUCCUGGGAAACGGUGACCAGUGACCAGCUCAGUGAGGCUAGGACCCUCGCUGGCGAGAUGGGAGGAGUUUUCCUCUUGAAGAAUCUGGCCAGGCUGUGAAAGAAGCCCAAUGGACAUGGACAUGAGGGGUUUCCCAAGAGAAUGCCCUAACAAGGGUGCAUCACAGAGGGCACAUGGGACCUGAGCACGGAGCUUCCAACAAGCUUUUCCUUCCUGCGAUUUGAAGUCAGCACCCCCAGACAGAGGAAAAUACGGAACGUGACAGUAGCAGACAUGGUCCUAUGAAGAGAGAAGAAAAUGUCAAAAUCACAACUGUGAGCGUCCUCAAGGGGUGAAAGAGGACACUCCAGCAGAUAACAAGGAUAGGAUGCUAUUAAAAAGAGCAUGAAAAUGUGAUUAAAAACACAGAAGUCAUAAAAACUGUGGACUCGGAAGUAAGCAAAUGUCCCCGAACAGAGAGCAGGAGAGGUGUGGUGUCCUCGAUGCCCACAGCUCGGUUGUCCUCCGGGCUCUGCCUUCGCCACCAUCUGCCAUGUUGGUCUUCUCUGUCCCUGAUGGACCUCUGGCUCUGUGGGCCCCUUCUGCUCAGAUCACAGUGUGCAGUGCCCUCCAGGCGGUACCUCCCCCUCACCCUGGGGCCUCCUGUUCCCUGAACUCUUCCCUCCCACGUUAGAACCACUGUGUCCUUGGUGACAGCCCGGGGCUCUCAGAUGUUUGGAUCUAAGGGAAAAACUACUCCCUGGACCCUCCACAGGAAGGCUCCUCUUGGAUAACAAAGAGAAGCUGCCGUGGCCGCGCCCAGUGCCAGGCUGGGGUCCAGGGCCUUUGGUCUGGGGAGUGCGGGGUCCACGGCUGGCCUCUCUGAGUCUCCUGGGAGAGACUGCCCGGUGGAAUCUUGUGGCCAGUGUUGUUGGCCGGGCCUGCAUGCUAAGCUGCCCAGCACCGGGGUGGGAAUGUGGCUGCUGUGUGAUUUCUGCAGAGCAAAGAAGUACAGAAACAGCCUCCGUGAAUAAUUUAGUCAUCGCCCUGGUAGGCCAGUGAAUGGAGCCAGUACACACCUCUCUUUCCCUGCCUGCUGUUGACGAUCUCCUCCGCCCCCAGAGCCUGGAGGCCCGUUUCCUCCUCAUCUUGCCCAUCGGAGAAGAUCCACUCUGCUGCUCCAGGCAGACUUCUGGGCGUCCCUGGGACUCUGUCCAGCUGUGCAUCCUUCCUCUCCUGGCCAGAACGCAGGUCCCUCAGGAUGGCCCUGGCCCUGUGUCCACUGCCGUUCCUCCACGUCUGCCAUGCUGCUUGGCACACGGUAGGCGCUCGGGAGAGGCUGUCUGAGACCACAAGCAGAGAGGGAGAUCCGUGUUCAGAGAGGCUGUUUGUCACCAGUGGGGGUCGGCGUGGUCAGGACGGGCCGGCAGAGGACCUGCAGGACUGGACAGAGCGGACGGGUGUGGACAGCUCUCCUCCCCUCUGCUCAGGGUGCAUCGUAGUGCAGGCCGGCGUCCCGGGUGUGCUGCUCUCGCCUGUGGCCGGAGGGGGUGGGUUUGUGGGCCUGGAGGAGCUGGCGGGAGGCCCCAGUCUGGGUGGGACGAGCCCGGCAGGGCAAGACCAGAGUGGGUGGAGUUGGGGACUGGAGGGCUCCCUGCAUCCAGCCCUCUGCGUGCUCUCUGCCGGCAUCGGGGUGCACAAGCCCACCAGCUCCCCAGACACACAGGAGCACGCGUGUACACACUCAGACACACACACAGACACACAGGAGCACGCAUAUACACACACAGGCACACAUACAGACACACAGGAGCACAUGCACACAACCAUACACACAGGAGCACAUGUGUGCAUGUACGCACACACACUACAAAGACACAGGGGCACAUGCAUACACAUACACACACAUUCAGCAGCACAUUUGUCCACAUGUGCAUGGGAGCAUGCGUGCACACACAGGAGCACAUGUGCAUGCACACACAGGAGCUUGUGUGUACACACACAGGAGCACAGGUAUGUGCACACACGCGGGAGAACACACACACACAGUGCUGGAACACCAUCACCAGUGUGCUGUCUGCUCCCCCCCGUUGGAAGGCGCUGCCCGAGUUGUCCCACACCUCCCCCAUCAGCACACUUCGAGAAGCGGGUCCUGACCAGCUCCAGUCCAUUGCGGGAAGCAGCCCUCAGACACGGGGACAGCUGCGGGCUCAUGGUCCUGAGAACCUGGCUCUCCUGCCACUGGGAGGGCUCACGGAGGACGCCUGGAACCCCCUCCGUCACCUCUUCAGACAGUCAGGAGCCUGCUUUCCCCAAAACUGGAAGGUUGGAGCCAUAGGAAAUGUCCCCAUCAUAUCAGAAAACUGAGGACUCUGCAGAAUGUUCUGGAACCUUCAGUGAGUGGGAGCUGCUGAUGCUGGUGACGGAGACUGGACAGGCUGUGAGGGGAGCAUGGGGACCUAGAGAAGCUUUGGGGACACAUCGGCACAUUUACAAUUUGUGCCUAAAUUUGCUCCUCCUUGGAGACCUGGCCAGGCUCAGAGCGAUCAACAGACAGGACGCCUGUCGCCAGUCAGUCAAUCGCUUGAUCGCUGGAUGAGUCAGUGGAUCAAUGCGCCGACUGCCCUCUGAACCGAGGGUGUGUUUCCUGGGAUGGGAAGAUGGUGAGGAGGCCCGACGCGCCCUGUGCGCUCAGCGCCCUGCUCCCCCAGCCAGCGGCGGCCUGGUGAGCAGGUGGGAGCUGUGGGGGGGCAUCUGGGACCUGCUGCCCCCGGGGUUGCUGACCUGCAGGGCUCCUUUGUGAGGGGGAGAAAAUGCUCCCAGGAGGAGGAGGCCUCCUCAGGGCCCAGGCUGGCAUUUUGCCAGUGCGAGGUGUCUGGACGGAAACCUCUAGAGGGGAACUUCCCAGGUCAAAGGGCGUCUGCACACAGGGAUUAUCACAAAAGUGCCCCCGGGGGUUCCACCCACAGCCUUCCUCAGAGUCUGGGUUAGCGGAGCAGGCCCCUGGUCCUUGGAAUGAGAAACCCCAACUGAGUCGCCCCAUCCCUGCAUCUGGGGUGCGGCCUGUGGGAGGGGCUGGCGGGCAGCUGCGGGGUCCCUGGGGUCUGGCUGUUUCUCAGUCCCCUCCUCAUGCCCCCCACUGUCUGCCCCCCCUGAGGGCCUGGCCGCGAGGUGAAGGGUCCAGGGGUCACUUGAAGGGAGGGGCUGCAGCUGGGCCAUCCCAGGGGAGGGGGCCGAUUAUGAAAGGCCCUCAGAGAGCCACACAAGGCAGCCUUGUUGGGUAUGAGCUCCCCCCAAGCUCGGGCUUUCCUCCCCCGUGAGCAGGAAGGGGCGACCCAGACCGAGGUCAGAUGGCCUGCACUGUGUGGGGUCCCUGUGGUCUAUUUCCAGCUCCAGCCUCUGGCCCUGCACACACAGGGGCAUUAAAGGAAGCUGCUUGUAGCAUGAGACAUCCGCCCUGUGGUCCUUCCUGCAGCUGUGUCCUCACUAAGGGAAGGUGACCGAGCCCAGAGUGGGAGGGGUCGGAGGGCCCAGCUGUGAGUGUGGACCAGGCUGAGGCCUCAUCACCAGCCAGGAGGCUCCCUGGAGACCCUGGGGCCAGAAUGACCUCCCUCUACAACCUUCCCUGGCUCCCCAUUGCUGUGCAGGGGAGUCCAUGCUCCUCACCCAAGGUCCCCAUCAUAACCUCCAUCAGACGCGCCCCCACUCCUCCUGGGCUUCACCCUUGACCCCCACCCUCUGUCUCUGGGUUGAGACCAGGAGCCGCCCCAGGGCAGGGUCAGGAGUGACACCCUCUGAGCCUGGGUGUCCACAAGACUCUGCAGGCUGCACGUUCAGCAAACAUGGGCCCAGGGGUGCGCAGGGCGAGACGGCAAUGACACCUGACCCCAGCACACAGUGAGCCGGACGCCAUUGCAGCUGAGAGGUCAGAGUGCCUGGACCAUCGGGAUGUGGUGGAUGUCGGCUGGCCCUGAAGGUCAGCAGAGCACAGCCCAGGAGCAGACCCUGCCCCAAUGGCCCAAGUCUCACCCCCUCCAGGUGCCAGCAGGGUAGCCGGCCGGUCCCCAUGGCCUCUCUGGACCUGGCUUCCUCGUCUGGGCCGUGGGGAUGGAGUCGCAGCAGGCUGGCCUGGCACGGUUGUUUUGAGUAUGACUGAGCGAGCCCCUGGGACGCACGGCCCUCCUGUCACUAGAAGCUCCACGUGGUGCCAGGACUUCCCUUCCGGGAUCAGUAAGAGUAAUGACAAAUGCUCCCGCCUCCUCCCAGGGAGCAAACGAUCUCCAGGUCAUAAAGGGCAAGAGCAACAGGCCACACUCUGCGAAGACGACGCCUCCGAGAUCUAAAUCCACACUAUGGACAGUGGCCUCCGGGGUGUUGCCAUCCAGUCUCGGGAAUGAGAAGGAAGCCUCCAGACUCCGCGUGCAAACUCAGGAGGAGCAUCUCUGUGGCUUCAGCGGCUGAAGCACCCCUGCCUGAAAGCUCCCUGGUGUCAGACGCCCCGUGAGGGGAGGCGGGGACAGAGCCCACCCCUCUCGGGGUCUCUGGAAAGAGCAUCAUCUGCGGGAGCAUCCGCCAGCCCUGCCUCCGUGUCCUCCCUCCUGCUCCAGGGGCGACCCUCCUGGGAGCCUCACAGGGAAGGGCCAUGGCCAAAAUGAGGGAGGGGCCCAGGUGCCAGGUGUCUCCGCAGAGCCUGUCCCGGCGGAGGCCGCACCCCCCACCCCUGCCCUGAGACCACGGUAGUCACAGUGACCAUGGAUCCUCGCAGCUGCUGCCUCCAUCAGGGUCGGUGCGGGAACAAAGCACCCAGGGAUGCAGGUGGGGUGGGGCUUAAUGCAGGGAAUUGGGUGCUCACAGAGCUGGGGGGCAGGCUGAAGGAGUGGGGUGCCGGCUGAGCCCACAGGGACUACUCGGGGUCACGGCAGACCUGACGCCAGGGAGCCCCCUCUCCCAGGGCUGGAAUUAAAUGCAGACCCUCCUAGACCAGUGGGGUGGGCCCAGCCUUCUCCCUUCAUCUCCACCUGCUACCUGUUCUGAGCACUGUCCGUGUCCCUGAGUCACCUGGUGCAAGGAGGCCCCUGAGACAGACCCCGGACGAGGACGCCUCUGAGUCCAGCACGGUUGCCGGGACCGCUCCUCACAGGAGGCAGAACACGGGCCCUUCUCCUCCCCCCACAGCAGACCCCGAGAGCGGGGCGCCCUGAGGACCGGCUGGCCAGGCCCCUCCCUGGGGAAAGUGACCAGAGAAGCCGUGGCUGCCGCCCCCCAGGGCCCAAGAUGCCCUUUGAGCUUUCUCUCCUCAAGAGCCUGCGGCUCCAAAGGAAGAUGAUGCCAGACACGGCGCAUGGACGCACUACAGAUGCCCCCAUGGGGAGGAGAGCUGAGCUCACCUCCACUUCACGUGCAGGUCACUGCCCCCCACGUCCUGGGCCUGGGCCCCGUUUGUCUCCGGUCCCCGGGCUGCUCCAGCUCCUCUCAAGGAGCCAGGAGGAGAGGCUCAGCCCAGGACGCUUGCUGACUAAGGAGGCUGCGCUGUGCUGAGCUGUUUCAGGCCAGCUCCUGGGCUGCUGUGGGAUUCCUAGUCUGGAGGAGGAAAGGGUUAACUUUGUGGCAGCACAGGGAAGUUCUGGGAUCCACGAUGUUUUCCAAUUCUGUGUUUCUUCUGGUCAUUAAUUGGAUAGAAGUUGUUAAACUUGAUGAGGAAGCCAGAGAGAACGCAGGUUGACUGAAUCUCUGGGAGAUUAAGUUAAUUUUUCUCCUCCAAGAACUGCCGGAAGCUUCCACGUCGGUGCUGCUGAAAGAGAAAGGAACAGAAUGGUUCAGACAGGAUUGUCUCUUGUCUUCUGACGCCUGCAUUGUGGACGCAGUGGGCCUGUCUGCUCAGAGUGGGGGCUCCGGGGUCAGCCUGGCGGGGACCCCAGCUCGGGGACACAGGCCGUGUGGCCUUGGGCAGGUCCAAGCCUCAGUUUCCACUCGGGAGAAUGGGGUUGAGGACAGGGCGUGCUCUCCAGGGGCUCUGUGGGGAUCCAGGAGACGAUGCCCUGGGAGCAUGUGGCACCGGGGCCUGGCACAUCCCCAACCUGCUCUUGUCCCAGAAAUGACCUGGUGACAGAUCACCACUUUCCUAUUGAUGUGGCAUCAAUUCUUCCCACUGCCCUUCUGAUAAAGUCCUAAAUGUUUAACACACUGUGAAGACUCCCCAAAACAAGGCUAAAGACGUGCUGGGGGAACCAAACGUGGGAGGAUGAAAACAUCCAGGGGUCAGGAGGGCGCUUGUGUCUGGGGCUGGGAAAACCACCGUGCCUGGGGGAAACCAGAACCGGCUCCUGAGGUUAUUUUCGGCUGAGGAAUUGUUUUCAGCUUCAGCUGCACAUGGGUCCCCCUUCAGGUCAGACUGGCCCCUAGGAGCCUGCAUCUGGCCUGUGGGGUGGUCUCCUGACCCUGCAGGACCUGCCCCCACACCCGUAUCCCCUCUCCGUGCACCCGUGUCUCCGCCCCAGGAACCCCUCCUUCUCCUGCAAGCUGGCGCUCCCCCAGCCCCCCAGCCCCUCCCUUCCCUGGAAUGUUCCCCCUCCCCGAAGCCCCUUCCGUGGGCGAGUCCUGGGGGGCCCUGCCGCCCACUGCAGGCUCCCUGCCCUCUAACCAGCGCCCUUCACACUGUCUGCUCUGGGCCUCCACGGGACCGAGCGUCUGUCUCCCUCACAGGCUCAUCUCACAGCUGCAGGUCCAGGUUCUAGCUGAAAUUUAAAUAUGCUGGUGAAGAAUGUAAUACGGAAUUCCUCGUAUAUUGGUAAUAUUGACAUUUUAGAUAAAACUACUACAUCUCUCUCCUCAGUGUAUCCAGUGAGAUGCUGAGAACAUAGGGAUGGGCCAUCCAUUUAAAAUGACAUCAUCUGGUUAAAAUGACAGAACGGAAAUCGUGUUGUUCUUUCUUCUCCUCCCACUCACAUUUCACUGCCUCCCUCUUCUCGCCCCAGCGCCCUGCUGCUUGAGACGGUGAUAUUCAUCACUGGUUACGCUUCUCUGUAACAAAAUGCAUAUGCAUAUUUGAAGUUUAAGUAAAAUAAACUUUGUGUCUAAAAAGC
This is a long non-coding RNA of Equus caballus (horse), 7966 nucleotides long. Lineage: Eukaryota; Metazoa; Chordata; Mammalia; Perissodactyla; Equidae. The record is from Ensembl.